UGCAAGUCGAACGAUGAUGCCCAGCUUGCUGGGCGGAUUAGUGGCGAACGGGUGAGUAAUACGUGAGUAACCUGCCCUUGACUCUGGGAUAAGCCUGGGAAACUGGGUCUAAUACUGGAUACUACGUCCCAUCGCAUGGUGGGGGGUGGAAAGGGUUUUACUGGUUUUGGAUGGGCUCACGGCCUAUCAGCUUGUUGGUGGGGUAAUGGCUCACCAAGGCGACGACGGGUAGCCGGCCUGAGAGGGUGACCGGCCACACUGGGACUGAGACACGGCCCAGACUCCUACGGGAGGCAGCAGUGGGGAAUAUUGCACAAUGGGCGGAAGCCUGAUGCAGCGACGCCGCGUGAGGGAUGACGGCCUUCGGGUUGUAAACCUCUUUCAGUAGGGAAGAAGCGAGAGUGACGGUACCUGCAGAAGAAGCGCCGGCUAACUACGUGCCAGCAGCCGCGGUAAUACGUAGGGCGCAAGCGUUGUCCGGAAUUAUUGGGCGUAAAGAGCUCGUAGGCGGUUUGUCGCGUCUGCUGUGAAAGCCCGGGGCUCAACCCCGGGUCUGCAGUGGGUACGGGCAGACUAGAGUGCAGUAGGGGAGACUGGAAUUCCUGGUGUAGCGGUGAAAUGCGCAGAUAUCAGGAGGAACACCGAUGGCGAAGGCAGGUCUCUGGGCUGUUACUGACGCUGAGGAGCGAAAGCAUGGGGAGCGAACAGGAUUAGAUACCCUGGUAGUCCAUGCCGUAAACGUUGGGCACUAGGUGUG
Molecule: ribosomal RNA, 757 nt
Filed under: Kocuria sp. 7-9
Lineage: Bacteria; Bacillati; Actinomycetota; Actinomycetes; Micrococcales; Micrococcaceae
Description: bacterial SSU rRNA
Rfam family: Bacterial small subunit ribosomal RNA
Source: RNAcentral